CAGAGAAUAGUUUAAAUAAAAUAUUAGUUUUGGGAAUUAAGGAUAAAGAGUAUUUCUUUUUCUCUGA
Molecule: transfer RNA, 67 nt
Filed under: Dotilla wichmanni
Lineage: Eukaryota; Metazoa; Arthropoda; Malacostraca; Decapoda; Dotillidae
Description: tRNA-Pro
Source: RNAcentral